GGUCUGAAGAAAGCUAAAUCACUUGGUAGAGCGUUUAACUCGUAAUCUAAGGGUUGCUGGUUCGACAUCAACCCAGGCCAGACCA
Non-coding RNA from Potamilus streckersoni, 85 nucleotides. The record is from the annotation of a GenBank genome assembly. Lineage: Eukaryota; Metazoa; Mollusca; Bivalvia; Unionida; Unionidae.